Molecule: ribosomal RNA, 336 nt
Filed under: Smeringopus lesserti
Lineage: Eukaryota; Metazoa; Arthropoda; Arachnida; Araneae; Pholcidae
Description: partial 12S ribosomal RNA
Source: RNAcentral
CCUAAGGCCUACCGGUAGUAAUAUAAAAUAAAACCCAUAUAACAUGGCGGUCAUAAACAAUUAGAGGAACUCGCUUCUUAAUCGACAACACCCGAUAAAUUUAACUUAUUUAAACCCUUAAGCCUAUAUACCGCCGUCUCAGACCCUAUCAUCCAAUAAGGCUCAUUCCCGUACAAACCCCUAACCACAAAAUCAGGUCAAGGUGUAGCUAAUAAAUAAGCGCAAGUAAGUUACAUUAAAUCAAACUUAAGGAUCUUAGCUAAAAAUAGCAACUGAAAGAGAAUCUAAAAACACACACGGAAUUAAAAUUUCAACUUGAAAUAUCAACAAUGACGC